RNAcentral lists this ribosomal RNA (497 nucleotides) under uncultured bacterium. RNAcentral describes it as "partial 16S ribosomal RNA". It matches the Rfam family "Bacterial small subunit ribosomal RNA", at positions 28 to 507 of the family's 1533-position model. The record is from RNAcentral.
GAUGAACGCUGGCGGCGUGCCUAAUACAUGCAAGUCGAGCGGACGGACGCGGAUCUUGCUUCGCUGAUGUUAGCGGCGGACGGGAGAGUAACACGUGUAUAACCUACCUAUAAGUCUGGGAUAACUUCGGGAAACCGGCUCUAAUACCGGAUAAUAUUCUGAACCGCAUGGUUCAAAAGAGAAAGACGGUCUUGCUGUCACUUAUAGCUGGAUCCGCGCUGCUUUAGCUAGUUGGUAGGGUAAAGGCUUACCAAGGCAACGAUGCAUGGCCGAAGGGAGGGGGUGAUCGGCCACCCUGGAGGUGAAACGGGGUCCAGACGCCUGCGGUAGGCAGCAGUAGGGUAUCUUCCGCAAUGGGCGAGAGCAUGACGGAGCAGCGCCGCGUGAGUGAUGAAGGUCUUCGGAUCGUAAUGCUCGGUUUUUAGGGAUAAACAGAUGUGUAAGUAACUGUGGACAGCUUGACGGUACCUAAUCAGAAAGCAACGGCUAACUACGUG